RNAcentral lists this long non-coding RNA (7571 nucleotides) under Citrus sinensis (sweet orange). RNAcentral's name for it is "long non-coding RNA (CSIN_LNC001133)". The record is from RNAcentral. Lineage: Eukaryota; Viridiplantae; Streptophyta; Magnoliopsida; Sapindales; Rutaceae.
GUCACUGAAGGAAGUUCUUGGUAAUUUAUUUAUUGUUUCUUGCAGCCUCUUAAGGAGUUGAAAUUCAUGAAUCUCAGUCACUCUUGUAACCUUAUCAGAACCCCUGACUUUACAGGGGUUCCAAAUCAAUAUAUGGGGGUAUAUUUUGGGUAUUUUGAGGGAAACCAGGUAUAUCCCACGCAAUUCGCUCAACAACAUGGAUACGGUGGAAAUUUUUCCAACUAAACAGAAGAAACCAAACAAUUGAUAGAAUAUUUUAUUAAUAAAUCCGCUGCUGUAUUACAAACUCCUUAGAUAUGUCUAACCUGAAAGAAUGCUUUAUAGAGAGUAAUUGCUUCACGUAAGAAAUAAGCUAGAACAACUCAGACACUCAGUAUAAGUACUACGUCAAUAAAAAAAUAAUUGAACCUUACAAAGUGAAUCUGACUCAACUAUUGGUGGAGAUAAACCCACCGCUCUAGCAAGCUGCAUUUCAAAGCAUAAGGCCGCCCCAUCAAAAUUAACAUCAUCAGAGAAAACAUUGCUCAAGGGGUUUUCUCUAAUUAAAAACUAUUUAAUCUAGGAGAAAUUUAAUAUAACCACUAUUUAUAUGAUAGUUUUUCAAAAAUAAAUAUAUGUAAUUCAUAAUAUUUUUUAUUUAUUAUAUGGAUGACAUAGUAAUUCUGAUGUGUUCUAAAAUUUCUCUUAAUAUAGUGUAUCAAAUUAUUAAUUUAAUUGAGAUGCAUCAACUAACAUCUCAAAUAAAUUUUAGUUGUCUGCAAUAAAUUAUUCAUUAAUAGAAUGUAAUUUAGCAUUAGAUGUAUUGAAUUUUCUUUAGCAUACAUGGCAAAAGAGCAUAAAACAUAUAUAUAAUGGAUUAAUUAUUUACAAUAAUAAAGCAUUAAUAAUAAUAAUACUAAUAAAAUAACGGAUAUAUAGUGUAUUAGAUGAACCGUAGUUAUACUUCAAAUUGUUAUACAAAAUCGUUAUUGUACAUUCGUCGUUUUCUUUUAUUUUACUCGAGUUAUAUAUUAUUUUGAAUAUUUAUUUAAAUUUUGAUAUAAAUUUUAAGUCAUUAAUUUUAUAUAAUCUAAUGAUAGAUGAAUUAAUAUUAUUAUAUAUUAUUUUGAUUUUUUAUAUUUAUUAUUAAAUAAUAUAAAAUCAAUCACUCAAAUUUUAUAUCACAAUUUAAAAUAAAAAAAUUAAAUUACAAAAACCCUCCCUAUUUUAUUUAUUUAUAUUUUCGGUAAUCCCUCAUGUUGUGCCACGCCGUCUGCAUCCCGUGUUGAUGAUAUCCUCAAAACGGUCAUCGGACGUCAUUUGGUCUAUCAAAUCAAAUUGUUAAGACAGUCCAAGGUCGCUGUCGAAAACUCGCCGACACCGCUUCAGAUUUUUUACUUUUUAUUUUAUAAUCUUUUUAUUUGCUUAAACGCUUCUCUAAAUUCUAAUAGCCACAGAUCCCAAAGGCCUUCGAAAUGGCGGCCUCUCAUACUUCGUCUUCUUCCACUCAUCAUCAAAUUCUUCAAACCAAAUACGACGUCUUUUUGAGUUUCAGAGGCGAAGAUACUCGCAACAAUUUCACCGACCACCUCCACGCAGCUUUAAUUCGCAACGGAUUCGUCGCAUUUAAGGACGACGAAACACUGGACAGAGGAAACGAGAUUUCAUCAGAGCUCUCGAAGGCAAUUGAAGAAUCCAAUGUUUCGAUUGUAAUCUUAUCGAAAAACUACGCUUCUUCCCCGUGGUGUUUGGAUGAGCUUGCGAAGAUUGUUGAGUGCGGGAACAAGAGGAAGGAUAGUAAAGUUUUCGCCGUCUUUUACGGCGUAGAUCCGGCGGAUGUGCGGAAGCAGAAAGGAGAAGAUUUUGAGAGAGCGUUUGCUAAAUAUGAGGAGGAGUUUAAGGAGAAUCAAGAGAAGGUGCUAAAAUGGAGAGCUGCUUUGACAAGAGUCGCCAGUCUCGCUGGAUGGCACUUGCAGGACAGGUUCUUUCCUUUAAUUUAUUUGUUAUUGUUUAAUUAUUUAUUCAUGGUAAUAAUUUUUUGCUUAUUUAGUAGUGACGUGUCAACAAUUGCCUAUUACAAACUCACACACGUCACAUCGCUGGAGAUCUGAUCUGUUUAGAAGCUACAACGUAGUCAAAUUUUUAUCCGAAUUAAUUUUGAAUUGUUUUUAUUAUGAGUGCUGCUGUUUUUAUCCAGAGUCAAACUCCGAAUCGGUUUCUUUGUAAUACUUUUUAAAUUUGUUAUAGAACUGUGAAAAGCCUAUUAAAUUAAGACUGUUCUUAUUUCGAAUCAAACUUCUUUUAAUCCCUUGACUACUUGAAUUUAGAUUCUAAUAAAUAGGAUAUUUUUAUGUAUUAUCUUAUGUUUAUUUUUAAAGUAUUUUAAUAUUAUUGUUAACUCAGAUCUGUUAAAUUGAGAAUAGCGGAAUGUAAAUAAUGUUAAUAUUCGACUAUCUAUAAUAUUUCUAAUUAUAACUUCUUCUAAAUUAAUUAUUCAGAAAGGUAUUGUCUACACUAUUUCUUAUAUUGUAUCUUUCGUUAAAUGCUACUUCUAUUCUUAUAUUUGUUAUAACCCUUAAUUUAAUGUUACAAUCUAUAUAACUUCUUAUUACGAUUAGUCUUCCUAAAUUAUUAACUUGUUUAAUAUAUUCUUUAAAUGCUUCAAUAGAACAAUAUUGAAUUGAUCGAGGACUGUACAAACUAAUAGAACAAAAAAACUCAGAGAUAAAUCACUAAUAUUAACUCCACAAUUAUUGUUGGAUUUUGUUUUUCUUAAUCAAGUCAUUGUUUGAAACCCAAUCCAUAUAGAUGCAUUAGGAAGAAAAUUAGCAUCAAUCAUGCUUAACCUAAUGGUAGUACGAAAAUGAUUUGUGGUGGCUUAUAUCCAAUAAAAGCACCAUAAUGGAGAUUCAAGGAGAUGUAUAUUAUGAGUUUCAAGCCUAACAUUCAUAUUUUUUCUUAAGGGAUCUAACAACAUUAAAGAACUUGAAAACUUAAAAGGUUUAAAUAUUCCUUAGAUCUACACAACUAAUUCUUUAACCAAGUAGAUUAGACAUUGGAAAACUAGAAUAAUAGCAAGGGAAUUUGAGAUUUGAGAAUUUACUGGUCAUUCUAAAUUGAUUGCUAAAGAUUUUAAUCAAAAGAUAUAUUCUCGCCAAGAUAUACGUGAAAUCCCUUUUCUUUCAAAAACCACAAAUUAUCAACUUGUAGAUUUCUAUCGAGAGCAAUUCAAAGAAGAUAUCAAGGCCUACAAAUCUCUAAUGAAAAAUCAAUCAAGUGAAGAAGAAGAUAAAGGUAGAAACUUCUACAACGAUUUAGGUGGUAUUGAGGCCCAUAAUCUUGACAACAUGUUAGAACCUUGACUCGGUAGUGGUCCACUCUCCAUUAAUCACCAUCACUCACUACCUUUUUAGAGCACAACUUUAAACAGAAAAGGUUGCGAUGAUAAUUCUGUCGAUACUCACCUUUUUUGCGUGGAUGUAAAGACAACAUCGUUUUCUCAAUGGACGGAGUUGUUUUCCUUUAGGGAGGAUUGUAAGAUCAUAAAAAAAAAAAAAAAAAAAAAUCUUGUAGCAAAAUUAAAUUUGUAGAAGUUCCAAGGCAAUUGUUCAAUUUCCUAAAAGUCAUAACAAGUAAAUUAGUUUUAUUCAGCAUUAUAUAUUGCAACUAGGUUACUUAGUUCUUCUCUAAUAAAGAAACCAAUCUUUUGUAAACUUCUAUAUGUUUAUAAAAGAACAAGUUUAUAUGUUGCAAAUCUUUUACCUUUUAUUUGUAUUUAAAGAAUGUUUUCUAUAUGAAAAGAAUAAGAUUAGACUAUAGAACAAAAUUUAGGUUUUCAGAAAAAUCUGAAGCCUUAAAAAAUGACCUUUGAGUGCCCAAUUUUUCUCCUAAGUACCGUUUUAGCCGAAGGAUAGGCAUUUGAAAGAAAAAGGGAGGUUUUGUAUUGGGAUUUCCAUGCCCCGAAUAGGGAGAAGGUUCUUUAAAAAAAUCUUUUGUUUUAAUAAAAAAGUUUAAUUUUAUACUCUGAACUGUUACAAAAUAGUUUUUCAACUUUUUUUCUUUUUACGAAUUUGGUUAAUAUUGUUGACAAAACUUGUUAUUUAAGAAAUUUUUUGAAAGUUUAUAAAAGAAUCUGGGAGUAUCUAGUGGAGAAAAACAACUGUUUAUAACAAUUUUUUUAAUCAAAAUUUGCUUGCAUGCCUUUAGAUAAUUAUACUUGUUUUACUUUAUAAAAUUGUUCUAUUGAAGCAUUUUGUGAAUAUAUUAAACAAGUUGAUAAUUUAAGAAGACUAGUCGUAAUAGGAAGUCAUAAAGAUUAUAGUAUUAAAAUAAGAGUUGUAGCAAAUAGAAGAAUAGAAGUAGCAUUUAAUGAAGGAUAUAAUACAAGAAAUAGUAUAGAAAAUACCAUUCCUGAAUGAUUAAUUUAGAAUAAGCUAUAAUUAAAAAUAUUAUAAAUAGUUGAAUGUUAUCAUUAUUUACAUUUUGCUGUUCUUGACUUAGCAUAUCUGAGUUAAUAAUAAUAUUGGAAUACGUUAAAAAUAAAUAUAGGAGAAUACAUAGAGUUAUCCCGGUACUAGAAUCCAAAAUUAAGUAGUCAAUGGAUUAAUAGGAAAAGUUUAAAAUAGUAUUAGUCUUUAAAUAUUCGACUUUUUACAAUUUCAUAAGAAGUUUAGAAAAUAUAACAAAGGAACCAUUUUUGAGAUUUGACUCUGGACUUAACUCAGGAUAAAUAGCAACACUCUAUUAUUAUAGCAUAGUCUGGAAUGUUUAUACUCAAGAUCACGUUAAUUUACAACUAUUGUUAAAUAUAAAUUAUAAUUCUUUGAUAUGACUAACAAGCACAUUGGCAAUACGUGACGACUUUUGUUUUCAUUAAAAAUCUCUUUUAUUUAAACAUUUUCCCAUUUAUCCUAACAAGUAAGUUCGUAUAUAACUAAAUUUAAAAUCAAUCAAGUAUAAACAAAUAUUAGCCAUGUGUUAUCAAAAUGUCAACUCCUUAGUCAAAUUAAAGAGUUACAUAUAACAACGGCUGUUAGUUAGCAUAACCCUUAGACUCAAUUUAGGCCAUAUCAUAAAUCUACUGUCAAUUCAAGACUGGGCAGAAAAGUUUCAAAUGGGCCUCGAAACCCAGGGCUCAUCAUAGCCAAUUGAGUCUGACUAUGAAGGAAUUCUACAAUGUAUCAGAGAUAAUACAACUAAUUGAUAUAUGGAUGACAUUUGUAAUUGAAUUUAAGGUAAAUAUCACUUGCAAAAUGAAUUUUUAAAAUAAAUAAAUAUAUGUCAUAACAUGAUUUGCUUGUAAUAUUGUAGACAUGAUACCUUUGAUAUAUUGUAAAAUUUCUCCUAAUCAACCGUGUCAUUAGAAAAAGCACAAUUGUAAAAGUAGAGUGGUGACAGAGAGCUACCUCUACCUCGCAAAGUAAAGUUGAACUAAUAACAACGAAAAUACUUCAAAAUUUAGAUGUGCAUAAGAGAGAGCUCACUCCAAUCUCACCUCAAUUUCAGAUGAGAAUAAAUAAAAAUUAAACUAAUAAUAAAAUUAUUCCGAAUUUUAAAUUAAUAAUAAACUUACCUGAAAAAUUUGCUUUGCUGGGGUUGAAGUGGGUUCAUUGGUAGGCGACAUAAUUUUUCAUAAAAGUAAAACUAUUGCAAGCUGUUUCAUCAAUUAUGGUCUAUGGCAACUUUUUUGUUUUGUGAGUCUACAGUUGAGCAUCAAUAAAUAUUGUAGGCACCUUACUUUUGGCAAAUUAAAAUUUCCUGUUUUGAUUUAUUGUUCUUCACCGUAGGCGUGAGUCAGAAUUGAUCAAAGACAUUGUUAAAGAGAUAUCGAAAAGAUUAAACCCAACGUUUCCAAGUGCUGUUGAUGGCCUUGUUGGAAUAGCGUCUCGCAUGGAGAAAAUGAAUGGAUAUUUAGAAGCAGGAUUAGAUGAUGUUCGGUUCAUUGGCAUUUGUGGAAUGGGUGGAAUUGGAAAAACUACGCUUGCUAAAGUUUUAUACAAUACGCUCAAAGAUCAAUUUGAAGCUAGCAGCUUUCUUGCCAACGUUAGAGAAGUCUCUGUAACAAGAGGUCUGGUUCCUUUACAAGAACAGCUUCUUUCUGAGGUCCUAAUGGAAAGAAAUUUAAUCAUAUGGGACGUUCAUAAAGGAAUUAAUUUGAUUAGAUGGCGGCUAUGUCGCAAAAGAGUCCUUGUCAUUCUUGACGAUGUGGAUCAAUUAGAACAAUUACAAGCGCUGGCUGGAAAUCAUGAUUGGUUCGGUUUUGGGAGUAGAAUAAUUAUUACAAGUAGAGAUGAACAUGUGCUGAAGAGCCACGGAGUAACAAAUACGUAUAAGGUUCGAGGACUGGAUUAUGUUGAAGCUCUCCAACUCUUUCAUUUGAAAGUUUCCAACGGCAAACAACCCACAGAUGACCGUGUUGAGCUCUCGAAAUGUGUAGUCAAUUAUGCAGGAGGGCUUCCAUUAGCAAUUGAAGUUUUGGGAUCCUUUUUGUGUGGUCGAAGUGUUGAGGAAUGGAAAAGUGCUUUGAAUAGGAUACAAGAAGCUCCUAAUGAAAAAGUUUUGAAAGUUCUCAGAAUAAGUUAUGAUGGACUUGAUAGAAGAGAUAAAGAAAUAUUCUUAGAUAUUGCAUGUUUCUUCAAGGGGAAGGACGAAGAUCGAGUCAGGAAAAAACUAGACAGUUGCGUUUUUAACUCAGUUAUUGGGAUAAGAGAACUCCUAGACAAAUCCUUGAUAACUAUUGUAAAUAACAAACUGUGGAUGCAUGAUUUGCUACAGGAAAUGGGUUGGGAAAUUGUUCGAGAGCACCAUGGUGACAAGCCCGGCAAAUGGAGUAGAUUAUGGCUUUAUAAGGAUGUGUAUCAUGUUUUAUCAAAAAAUAUGGUAAGAUAUUUGUCAGGGAACAUAAUUCCAUACAUUAUUGUCUUACUAAAAGUGAAAACUAUAGUUCAAGAUAACUUCUCUCUGUUUUGAUCAUUGAUUUUUACCUUUUAAUUUUAUUUCUGUUUCCUUUAUUUAUUAGGGAACAGAUGCAGUUGAAGCUAUAAUUGUUGAUGUGGCUGAGAUGACGCAAUUGGAAGCUAAAUCAUUUUCAACCAUGAGCAAUCUGAGGUUACUUGAAAUCAAUAAUCUUUAUUCUUCGGGCAAUCUUGAAUACCUCUCAAAUAAUUUGCGGUAUCUCAAAUGGCAUGGAUACCCGUUUAAUUCUUUGCCCGUGAGUUUCUGGCCAGAGAAACUUUUUAAGUUGAACCUGUGUAAUAGUCGCAUCAAAUAUCUUUGGAAGGGCAUAAAGGUAUCAUUUCUGUAUUGCAUUCAAUAUACACAAAAUAAUAGUCACUGAAGGAAGUUCUUGGUAAUUUAUUUAUUGUUUCUUGCAGCCUCUUAAGGAGUUGAAAUUCAUGAAUCUCAGUCACUCUUGUAACCUUAUCAGAACCCCUGACUUUACAGGGGUUCCAAAUCUUGAGCGGCUGAAUCUUGAAGGCUGUACAAGAUUGCUCGAGGUUCACCAAUCUGUUGGAACUCUUAAAAGACUAAUUUUAUUGAAUUUAAAAGACUGCAGAAAUCUUGUCAGCUUUCCAAAAAAUGUCUGUCUUAUG